Molecule: long non-coding RNA, 8374 nt
Filed under: Theobroma cacao (cacao)
Lineage: Eukaryota; Viridiplantae; Streptophyta; Magnoliopsida; Malvales; Malvaceae
Description: long non-coding RNA (TCAC_LNC001644)
Source: RNAcentral
CCCCAUCAAGUCACACAUCAUCAUUAUAUAAAGUUUAAACAAUAAAAACAAACUAAGAAAACAAGAGAAUAAUAAAAAAGAAUAAACUCAAGAAUUAUAAUUUUGAUCUUCCAAGUCUUCUUGAAUCCUUCAAAAUCUUCUCAACUUCAAUGAAUUUGUGGCUUGACUCUCAGUUUUCAAUCUGGUGUUUCUUCUUCUUCUCUCUUUUUCCCUUAAGUCUUUCGAAAGGUUGCUUUUAUAGGCUUUUAAGUUAGGUCAAGUUGGGUGAAGAAAGAAGUCAAUUUCAACUGGGAUGUCCUCAUCAGACUAUGUAAGUCGCAGCUUUGCCAAAUUAAUUAACAGAAAUCGUAAUUGCUCUAGGACUGCUAUAGUACAUUAACUUCGACAAGAUUUUUUGCCAUCCUACAGACUGAAUUGGGUGAAAUGGUAAACAUGAAAGUUGUAGAUCUUUCUCUUAUCUUUCUAAUGGUCAAGAAUCACUUCAUUUGGAUCUCUGUAGAGAAAGUUAUGGCCGAAAUACCAAAAUAUGUGCAGUGUAAGUCUGCACCUCGAAAUUGCUCUCAUUCUUUUACUAAAAUUAUUCUUUCAAAUACCUACAAAAACAUAAUUAAAUUAAUAACAACCUAUCUUAGCCAUAUUAACACCAAAUUAAGCAUAAAAUUAACCAUGGUUAGAUUGACUCACCUAAAAUAACUAAUUUAAAAUAAUUAAAUAAAAUCUAUUAAUUUCUACGUAUUACUACAAGAACUAAAUUAAAUUAAUAUCAAAAUUAAGCUCGAAUAACUCUAUAUGUCACGACCCGAAACUCUUAUCGAGCCCGUGACAACCAUCGCGACGUCUCGAUAGGCACUCAUUACCUCGAAUGCCGAUCGAAACCCGCAAGGCUUAGCAUCAGCUUCCGUAUCUCCCCAGUGAGCGACAGUUAUUAAAUCUUGCAUUUCAAGAAAUCAUAAGUCGUUUCCAAAUCAAAAUAAUAAUAUAUUAUUUUCUAGCUCACAGGGGCAUUUUAGUCAUUUUUCUUCUAUAAUACCGAAACUCACCAAAACAAUGGUGUAAAAGCUAAAUAUGUUCAUACAUAUUUUAAAUCAGAUAACUAAAGUAUAAAAUUACUUUUACAAUGACAUGUGGGCCCCCAACUAACCAAUAAGAUGCAAGUAUGUGAACCUAUAAUUUUGACAAUGCAAGGCUAACUGAAGUCCUUGAUGCAAUCGGCUAUCUACCGGCUAUCUCGAACCUGAAAUGUGGGGAAUUGAGGGUGGUGAGAUUAUAAAAUCCUAGUGAGUAAACAGACACCAUCUAAACUAUCUAAAGGCGAGUAAAUGGAAACAAUUAAAAAUAAUUAAUUUCAGUAAAUUUUUCACAUCACGAAUAUUCAUUUUAACCAAAUAAUCAAUAUAGCUUGUGAAUUACUCAAAACUUGGCUCAUGCCAAAUCUUGUACUCGGGGACACUUGGACCAGGGGUAUCCAACCGAGUCUGCCAAGGCUGUUAAAAAUUCAUAUUUCGCAUAAAUCAUAUUUUUAUUUUGAAACAUAGCAGUUCCUUGGAGUUGGCUGAGUCUCACUCUCAUGCGGUGGUCCAUGUGAAGUGUACUCAAAAAGCCCACCUCAGGAGAUACCCUACGCGCCUCUACGACCGAGGUGAGAAUAUAAAGGAGUUUACCGUGCCCCUCUAAUAGGUUGGCCCACGGAACCCCCCACCACUGCAGUAGCUAAUCUUUUAUCUACCACCUGAUUUAUAAAAUCAUUUUCUGCAUGACAUGGCAAUUUAUCGCAGCCUAGCCUCUUAAGGCUAAAUACACAGUAUUUUAACACCAAAAUCAGUUUAGCCAUUCGUGCUCAUUUAUUGUCAUAAGCCAUUCAAUUUAAAACCAUAAAUUUACAACACAAGCAGGCAGUCUCCAAUUACUCUAUUUUCAAAACCAGUAUUCGAUUUUCCAGAAAAUUUAUAAAAUCAUUUUAUAAAAUCACAAUUUCUCUUAAAGCAUAGCAAUUUACCAUUUAAACCCAUUUUCCAUAAAAUCACACAAUUGUAUAAAACUACUCUAGAUAAUUAAGACGAUAAUAAGUUUACUCACAGUUUUCGAAAACUAAAUUCGGGUACUCCAACUAUUACUCAUCGGGUGCGAUUUCUUUGCCCUUGCCAAAAGAUUCGCCACCUUAACAAAUUGCACAAUUAAGAGGUUUACUACUUUGGUACUAAACCAAAAUAAACUAAUUUAUACUACUAAUGCAUGAUAUGAAGUGCAAAAUGUCUAAAUUUUGCCUAAAUAAGAUGUUAGCCUAUUUCGGUCUUUUACCCGAUAAAUCGAUAUACGCAUUCGUUUAAACUCCAAAUUAAUUUUUUUCAGUUUCUAUACCUCAUUUGCACCCAAAUUGACUUAAUGUUCCUCAGUGUGGUGCAAAUUAUCAGUCUCGAUAGCAAAUUACGAAAAUACCCCUAGUGGGUAAAAAUUUGUAUUUUUACUCCGAAAAUUCCCAUUAUUUUUCUAAGCUCAUAAUUCAUCAUUAUUCAUCAUAAUUCCUCAAACAAACAUCAAGAUCAGCAGCCAAUAUUCCCCUAGAAAAUUCGGCCAAUAAUGGUAAUGAAGGAAAAUGAAUUUUUUUCUUGUUGUUUUGUUUCUAAAUAUGCUAAACUAACUUAAAACACUAAAAUAACUUAAAAUCAAAUUAAUCUAACUUCAUUCUCUCUCCAUACCCAUUUGGGCAGCCAUGAAUUCACCAUGAAAACAUGAAAUCUAACCAUGGAAAAUAAAGAGAAAUGCAUGGGAAAGGUAGAUCACAAGUCAAAAUCAAGAAAUUUUACCUUUGAUUGCUUGAUUCCUUAAAAUCCACCAAUUUCCCUUUAAUUUUCCCACCUAGGUUUCUUGUUUUUUCCUUUCCUCCUUUUGUUCUUCCUUUUUCUUUGUUUGGCCGCCCUGUGAAAGAAAAUUGGCUGAUUUUUAUAUUUAUUUUAAAGUUAAAUAAUUAAUGAAUAUAAACUUGACACAUGUCACCUUAUUAUUAGUCCAUGUGUCAUUUCUUAACUAUUAAGCUUUCUCUUUCCACCACACAUUAUUCAAGGGUCAAAAAUGAUGAUGGGUGAAGCCGUGUGCUGGAAAAAUGCUCUGGGGGUGCAAAAUUACCGUUUUGCCCCCGGGGUGGUAAAAUUACAUUUUUGCCCCAAAAAUUGAAAAAAUUACCCAUAGACAUAUUUUUCAUCCCUUAUACUCAUACCAUUCUCCAAUUUUUCAAUGUGAUCUAAAUUCUCUCAAAAUCUCAAAUUUUGUCCGUGAGUGGAAAAAUUACGAUUUUGCCCCUACACUCCAGAAAUCACCGGAAUUAAACUUUUUCACUGCCAAACCCUCAAAUUAUACUCCAAUACUCAAAUCAUACUCGAAUAAGUUAAAUGGGGCCAAAAAAAUCUUUUUUCAAAAUUCUCAUUUUGUCCCCAAGUGGCAAAUGACCAUUUUACCCCUAGAUAAUGAAAAUUUCAGUUUGACUCCAAAUUGAUCCUCAAACUCCGAAUUACCAUUUUGAGUCAUCCUUGAACUGUGAAACUCUUAAUUUCACCUCAAAAUUCCUAUUUGAAUUAGUUCGAGGCUUAAUCGACUUAAUGGUACCAUUAGGGGCAAUAUCGUCUGUUAACGAUUUAUCGAACUUCCUAAACAUGCAAACAUUCUAUUGAGCAUGUAAAUGACGUCGUAAUUAUUUUAUAGAACAGGGUUUGACACUAUAUCAUAGAGUUAUCACACCCCCAAACUUAAGAUUUGACUAGUCCUCGAGCAAAAUAUAGAAAAUAACCUAACUUACGAAAAUCAAAUUCAGUUAAAGAAAACUAAAUAUAGUUAUUAUUACUACUAAUACUACUACUAUUACUACUAGAGAUAAAAUGCACCAACUCAAUGAUUCUUUAUAAUUUCCUCAAAAGUAUGUCUAUAAAUCAUUAAUCUAAGGAAAAAUAAAGGUCUCAUUCAAAUUCAUGUUUCAAUUCUAAAGCACAUUCUUGAAUGGAUUUCCGUGUGUGUGUGAAAUCUUUUACCAAGAAUAUCAUGAUAUCCGGAUGAAUUUAUGCCAACACAAGUUUCAUAUUAGUACUACAUUUUCAUAAAUUUACUUUUCAUCUCUCUCUCCACUAAUGUAGACCAAUACAAAGCUAGGAAUCAGUAGGAGUUUAUAAAGCUUGUAAUGUAUGGCUAGGGUCAAGGUAUGAUAAAGGAUAUUAAUGUGGCUCAAAUCACUCUAAGCACAUAAUUAUUCUAGGACCUAUAUAUAUAGAGCUCUAUUUUCCUUCUCCUAGUACACUUUUUCUUCCACAUUUGAAUUUUUCUUUCAUUCAACACAUUUUUUUUUUUCACAAUUUCACACCCCCAAACUUAUUUUCAUUGUAUUGUAGGUAGUGGGGUUAUUUUGCAUAUUUUGAAUUUUUUUCUUUUUUUCACAUCAACAUCACUUUUCCACCUUUUUCAACAUUUAGCUCAAUUUAUAUUUCCUAAAACAAUAUACAUGCUUAGGAGUGAGGGUUGCAAAAUUGAAAAAUUAAUUUUAAAGCUAGGCUCAAUUAUUAUGUAGUUAAACAAAGAAAAAGAAAAUUAGGCUCAAAAUGGGUAUACUAGGGAUAAAAAUUUAACAAGGUUUGCUUUUUGGGCUCAAACGGUCCAAAGAUGGCCUAGAUCAUCUCCCUAACUAAGUAUUUCCUAGGAUUUUGCAUCGAGAGAAAAUCAAGUAAAUUCUAGAAUUUAUGACAUAAUUUAAAAUUCAUAUUAGUAUAAACCUUCUCUAAAAAUUUAUAAUAAUUCAAAGUAAAAGAUAUAGUGCUCAAAAUUAUGGAAAUCACAUCCUAACAAUGAUACUUAACAAAAGACUUUAGCAUGAAUCCAAACAAAAACCUUAUUCACCAAAAGUUAAGAAUUUAAGACAACUAGUUAUCAUCAUUGGAUAAAAAAAAUCAUUGAAAAAAAAUUGGCACAACUUUACUCUAGAUUCCUAAAAUUCAAACAAGAAAUAAAUUUAUUUACCAACUAAUCUUACAUUAUUUAUACUACGCAUGCAAAUAAAAUUAAAUCUAAACUUCCACAGGAUAUUCAUUACCAGAAAAAUAAAUUCACCCCCCCAAACUUAAAUUAAACAUUGUCCUUAAUGUUAGAAAAAAUAAAGAAAUGGUAAAAAAAUAUUCCCCUGAUGAUUGGAUGAAUUUUUGAAAAGCUCUAAUCCUCCUCCUUAUUGUUAUCAUCUUCAUUGUCACUUGUAAGAAUUUUUUUUACUACAAAAAAGAAAAAUAAAUAAAUAAUGUAGAGAAAUAAUGAAUAAAAAUAACUGAAAAGAAAAUAAAUAAAAAAAAAAGUCUUUGUUGGGUAAUGGGUAAAUGGGUUAGUGGGUAAGUUGGUAAAUGGGUUGGUGGGUAAGUGGGUAGUAGGUAAAUAGGUAAUGGGUAGUCCAAAAAAAAAAAAAAGGAUUUGGGUUAGGUUAGUGGGUUGCCCAAUGUUGGCAGCCCAAUAGAGGGUGGUGGGUAGUGGGUUGCCAAAUGUUGGCAACCCACUUCAGGGGGGGCCGUGGCCUACCCUAUGUGGGAGGCACGACCUACAUUCAAAUGGCCCCAUUUUCUUUUUGUUUUUUUUCAGAGCUGCGGCUCACAUUCUUUACACCCCACGAGGCUGCGGCUUCCCAUAGUGGGAGCCGCAACUUACCACUCUUUUUUUGAAUUUUUUUUUUAUGUUUUUUCUGAAUUUUUUUUUGAAAAUUAUUUUUUAGAAUAAUUUUUUUGACAUGAACUUUUUUUUGAAAUUUUUUUUGUAAUAUAUUUUUUUCUUGAAAUUUUUUUGAUUUGUUUUUAAAUUUGUUUGAAUUUUUUUUACAUGAACCUGCACAAAUAAAAAUGAGUGUUAAUAAUUUAAUAAUUAAAUAAAUAAAAAUAAAAAUAAACUAAAAUAAAAUAAAAGAAAGUAAGUUAGAGUGCUUGGGUUGCCUCCCAAGAAGUGCUUCUUUAUAGUCACUAGCUUGACUUUAGUUGAGCUUUGAGUUUGCAUGGAAAAAGCUUGAGGUAUGAAAGUACCCUCAUCCUAAGAUGAGGUUGUAGUGCCUUUAACUCAAGAUUUGAUGCUUGCUUAACCCAAGAUGGUGGAAUAGGUUGACUCUUGUCUAACUUCUCAAAUUUAGUUCUUUUUGAAUAAUGUGCUUUUGCUAUAACCUCCUUAGGUAAAUUAUCAACUGUAUCCAAAAAAAGUAUAGGAGGCACAUAUGGCUUGAUUUGUGGUGAUGUAGAUAUUUCCUCUUCUUACUUAAUUUCUUCAUCUUGAACUUGAUUGCUGGAAGUACUUCCUUUAUCUACUUUAUCUCCAUCAUCUUGAAAUCUAUUAUUGAUGGCAUUAGCUAGUUGAUCCAUUUGUAUCUCAAGAUUUCGGAUUGAUUCUGCCUGACUUUGAAUGAUGGCAUUAGUCCUUGUCAUGAAGGCAUCUGUCUUUGUCAUGAAUUGUAUGAACAUAUCCUCCAUUAAAUGCAUUUUCUCUAGCAUAGGAGCUCUAACUUGUGACUAAAAACCAUUAUGGAAAAUAGGCUAUGAUGAAUAUGUAGGACCAUGAUUAUUACUCCAUGAAAAAUUUUCGUGAUUCCAUCCUGAAUUGUAAUUGUUGGAGUAUGACUUAUUUUGUUGCCCAUCGAAGCUUUCAUAAAAUUGCAUUGAUUUGUAAUAAGUUGGACGACAAUCACUUGAAUGCCUAUCUCCACAAAAUUCGCAUGUAACAAAAGGACUUUGAAAAGCAUUAUGACCCCAGGUGUUAAUUUUCUGAGACAAAGCAUCUACUUGGUUGGUUAAAACACUAAUUGCAUCCAAUGCAUAAUCACUAGCAACCUUCUUAGGCACAAAUUGUUCAGAUGGCCACACAUAGUUCAUCACCUUAAUUAAAAGUAUCUAAAAAUAAAAAGAAAAGUUUGAAGUAAGAUUAUGAAUGUUUGGUAUUAAUAUUAACAAGAAGAAUUAAAAAUCAAUUCCCUAGCAACGGUGCCAAAAACUNUCUCAAAUUUUAUCCCCGAAUGGAAAAAUUACGAUUUUGCCCCUACACUCCAAAAAUCACCAGAAUUAAACUUUUUCACUUCGUAUCAUUAAAUUAUACUCCAAAUAGUUAAUCUUGGUCAAAAAUUUCACUCCAUGAUCAAAUUAUUAGCUUAGGUGGCAAAAUGACGAUUUUGCCAUUGAACAUCAAAAUUUCCAAUUUUACCCUAAAUGAACCCUCGAACUCCGAACAAUCAUUUUUAGUUAUUCCUGGACUAUAAAAUAUUAAAUUUCAUCCUACAAUUCUUAUUUGAACUAGUUUGAGGUUAAAUCAACUCAAGUAUAUCGUUAGGUACGAUAUCGGGUUUCGUCUUUUCUUAGGUGCUUUCCUAGCAUAAUAACAUGCUACUCAGUGCAUGUAUGUCAUGACAUGUAUUUAUAGGGUCGGGUUUUACAAUCGUAAUAAAGUAGAGUAUUGUUCCCACAGAGAAUUAUUUAAUUCUUAUUGUUAACUACUAGAAUUAUAACACCCUAAUUUUAUCCAAACAAUUAAAAUAAAAAAAUUAAAACUAAUAAACUAAAACUAAAAUUAAAUAGUAAAUAAAACUCACUUAACUACCAUACCUAAGAUUAUAAUAUCCCUCAAUACUUCAUUUGAUUAAUGUUUCUCUCUCUUAACUUAGUUUAAUGGAUUAAGUUGCUAACCUAGAGUCCUAAAUUAUUUAUAAGUCUUUGUCAAGUUUCUCAUAAAAAUACCUAUCCCAAUUAAUUUACUAUAUGUCUAUGUAAAUUAAAUUGAAGAAAGAUUCAUUAAGUUUGUGCUCUAAUCCUGGCUACGUAUGGCUUAUAAAUGUAUGUCUACCCUAUAUGCAAAUCAAACCACCUAAUCAACUAAGUGUAUUCGAUCAUACGCUAUUUUAUUCAAGGUCUACCUAAAUCUCCUUCGUCAAGAUUUAACUUAGGUUUCCAAUUCAAUCUAAUUGGUGAUCAGGUAAUUAGAAGCAUUAAGAACAGAAUAAAAUAAAUAACUUAAAUCUAUUAAACAUAACUAAAAGAGAGAUAAAUAAUUCAGACUACAUAUUGAGUUCAAUCAUAAUGUUAGAUUAAGAAUUUAGUUCCCCAUCAAGUCACACAUCAUCAUCGAAUAAAGUUUAAACAAUAAAAACAAACUAAGAAAAUAAGAGAAUAAUAAAAAAGAAUAAACUCAAGAAUUAUAAUUUUGAUCUUCCAAGUCUUCUUGAAUCCUUCAAAAUCUUCUCAGCUUCAAUGACUUUGUGGUUUGACUCUCAGCUUUCAAUCUGGUGUUUCUUUUUCUUCUUUCUUUUUCUCUUAAGUCUUCCGAAAGGUUGCUUUUAUAGGCUUUGAAGUUAGGCCAAGUUGGGUGAAGAAAGAAGUCAAAUUCAGUUGGG